Pelobates cultripes (western spadefoot toad) is the source of this 1074-nucleotide non-coding RNA. Lineage: Eukaryota; Metazoa; Chordata; Amphibia; Anura; Pelobatidae. The record is from the annotation of a GenBank genome assembly.
GCUCAGUCUUCAGCAAGACACAGGAAACGGCAUUUAAGCUUCUUACAAACUGGUACUGCACCCCGACCACACUCCACACUAUCAAUCCGGAACACUCAGAACUCUGCUGGAGAUGCAACACUGACAUAGGCACCACUCUCCACCUAUGGUGGGACUGUGAGGCUAUCCGACCCUUCUGGAAAGGCAUACACGGUCUCCUCCAAACAUUUUCUGACGCACCACCACCCUUCCUACCCGAGGCCAUGCUCCUACACAACAUGAAGACCCCCAGAUCACGAUACAAGAAAUCUCUAACCAUACGAAUGUUAAACGUAGCCAAACAGGUGCUCCCACAAUUCUGGAAGCAGACGGUUACACCCCCACUGAUGACAUGGUUCGCCCAAAUGGAAGAGCUUAGGGCAGUGGAAGAACUCAAUAUGUGCGCCACUAACGCCUCCGACAAAUAUCUAGAAAUCUGGUCACACUGGCUCCUGACGACCUCCAAAGCAGAUUUCGCACACAGACUCAGAUACGAGGUCCAAGUGACUGCAGACGAAGACAUAUCCCGACAGCAACCCGACCCCCCACAGACAGAACCCCCACACUACACACACGCCCCUAUAGAUCGUAUGACCCGACGACAAUAACCUACUAUAACCUAGGCUCCUGUACCACACGACGGACAACAGGGGAGGGAGAUGCGUUUCCCGACCUCUUAGACUGCUGCAUUGCACAGAAACUUGCGAGUCACAAUCGCCUCUGAACCUACCACAAAGGCAACUCUAUCAUGACUUUACCUACCACUUAAGGGCCUGUGAGCCACAGUCACAAAAAUCAUUUACCGCACCAGGUGAAAACACUACCUAAUGUUUAUGUUUCAUGGGACCUGCGAGUCCAACAAGUAACUGUUACUGGCGCUACACUGUGACCUGCGCGUCAUCAAUUUUUGUUUGCAUGUUCAACACCAUCAUCCCUUCAAUUAUCUGAAUGUGUUAGUCUUUCAACCAGUUUUAUGGGACCUGCGUGUCCACGCUGUAUACUUGCACUGAAAAAGUGAAGAUACCCAAUAAAAAUUAUAUUUACAAAAAAAAAAAA